AACAAGUACUUCAAAAACAACAAUGUGAAUGCGUUGAAUGAGGAUGAAGUAGAGAUUCAACCUGCUCAUGUUAAUGAAGUAGAUAGUGCGGAUGAAGAAGUGAGUCAACCUGACUAUGUUAAUGAAGUAGAUGAUAAAGAAGAAGAAGUGAUGAAACCCGCCUCUAAUAAUGAAGAAGAUGAUAAGGAAGAAGAGGGUUCCUUUUCUUUAAAUUUGGAUGAUCCCGGGAAUUGGAAAAUCAUUGAUUAGAAAAC
This 254-nucleotide long non-coding RNA is filed under the name Olea europaea (common olive). RNAcentral describes it as "long non-coding RNA (OEUR_LNC008149)". The record is from RNAcentral. Lineage: Eukaryota; Viridiplantae; Streptophyta; Magnoliopsida; Lamiales; Oleaceae.